This is a regulatory RNA element of 90 nucleotides. It matches the Rfam family "pan motif". The record is from Rfam.
UGGGCAGUAUCGCUUGCGAGCUACACCGGCUGUUAGGCUAAUCUUCAAAGAACCAAUCCGCUUAGAUCCUUUGAGGGCUAAGACGGAAGG